CAAUCUGGUGAGUAAAGUGGCGUACGGGUGUGUAACACGUGGAUCAUCUGCCUUUUUGUGGGGGAUAACCUGGGGAAACCUGGGCUAAUACCGCAUAAGCUCGAAAGAGGAAAGCCCAAAAGGCGCAGGAAGAGGAGUCCGCGGUCGAUUAGCUAGUUGGUAGGGUAAAAGCCUACCAAGGCAACGAUCGAUAGCCGGCCCGAGAGGGCACACGGCCACACUGGCACUGAAACACGGGCCAG
This 242-nucleotide ribosomal RNA is filed under the name uncultured bacterium. Its description in RNAcentral is "partial 16S ribosomal RNA". It matches the Rfam family "Bacterial small subunit ribosomal RNA", at positions 79 to 334 of the family's 1533-position model. The record is from RNAcentral.